UUAAUUGCAUUUGAUCCGUUUGAGCGAGAGCUUUUGCGGAUUUCUGUGGGAGGGAACAAUGAUCCAGCAGGAUCAAUGCAGAAAAAAUAUAUAUUUCCUAGAUAUGUAUUUUUUUGGUUACACCUAGAUAUGUAUUUAGUAACACUUGAUCUAUUGUUUCAGGAAACGCACCCUGUGAAUUUUUUUUAUAGAAUUUCUAAGGUAUUGUUGAACAAUAAACAGUUUUGGCCUUUGGGACAACUGUUCUUGGGAUCAAUAGUUAAAUUAG
Molecule: long non-coding RNA, 268 nt
Filed under: Medicago truncatula (barrel medic)
Lineage: Eukaryota; Viridiplantae; Streptophyta; Magnoliopsida; Fabales; Fabaceae
Description: long non-coding RNA (MTRU_LNC002342)
Source: RNAcentral